This is a long non-coding RNA of Pipra filicauda (Wire-tailed manakin), 343 nucleotides long. RefSeq lists it as uncharacterized. The record is from RefSeq and is a predicted model, not a curated record. Lineage: Eukaryota; Metazoa; Chordata; Aves; Passeriformes; Pipridae. The transcript has 2 exons.
CAAUAGAACAAGAGGAAAUGGACUCAGGUUGUGCCAGGGGAGGUUUGGAAUGGAUAUUAGGAAAAAUUUCUUCAGCAAAGGGUGAAUGCGAAGCACUUGAACAGGCUUCCCAGGAAAGUCAUGGAAAUGAAAGCUAAGCAGCACAAGGCUUCCAGCACUGAGAACAGCUGUGCACUGAGCUGCAUAGAUCAAGCAAGCUACUGUAUUUAUGACAGUGCUCUUCUUUUCUCUGUUGCCAAAAGAGUGGUCAGAUGAAGCACAGCAAUUUGCACUGCUGACAUCUAUUAUCACAGUAUUUUUAUAUUUUUGGCCACACUCUGAAAAUAAAUUCAUCUGCCCAAUA